This 500-nucleotide ribosomal RNA is filed under the name uncultured Corynebacteriaceae bacterium. RNAcentral describes it as "bacterial SSU rRNA". It matches the Rfam family "Bacterial small subunit ribosomal RNA", at positions 1 to 507 of the family's 1533-position model. Lineage: Bacteria; Bacillati; Actinomycetota; Actinomycetes; Mycobacteriales; Corynebacteriaceae. The record is from RNAcentral.
GGUACGGAGUUUCGAGUCCUACGGCGUACAGACGACGCUGGCGGCGUGCUUAACACAUGCAAGUCGAACCGGAAAGGCCCCUCGCUUGCAGGGUACGUCGAGUGGCGAACGGGUGAGUAACACGUGGUGAUCUGCCCUUCACUUCGGGAUAAGCCUGGGAAACUGGGUCUAAUACCGGAUAGGACCAAUCUUUAGUGUGGUUGGUUGGAAAGUUUUUUCGGUGGAGGAUGAGCCCGCGGCCUAUCAGCUUGUUGGUGGGGUAAUGGCCUACCAAGGCGACGACGGGUAGCCGGCCUGAGAGGGUGGACGGCCACAUUGGGACUGAGACACGGCCCAGACUCCUACGGGAGGCAGCAGUGGGGGAAUAUUGCACAAUGGGCGGAAGCCUGAUGCAGCGACGCCGCGUGAGGGAUGACGGCCUUCGGGUUGUAAACCUCUUUCGCUAGGGAAGAAGCCUUCGGGUGACGGUACCUGGAUAAGAAGCACCGGCUAACUACGUG